GACUCUUUUGAUCGUCUUGCUAUUUUGCAGUGGAUUAGACUGUGUAGCUCAUUUUUUCUGGUGGCCUUAAAUAGCGCCUAAAAUGGCUCAGCCAAACAAAGCAGAGUGCCUGCACACCUGCUAUCCCAACAGGAGUUAAACCACAAGCUCAUCCACUCCCUCUGGAAAUCAUGUUUCACAGGACCUAUGCUGGGACUGGGCAUGGCAAUAAACUACAUAAUAGGACUAUCUUCUCCAAAGCAAAGAUCUCAAGGGCACACAGUCCUCUGCUUGAACACUGUCCUACAUGACUGUUUCUGAUGGGAGGAUCUGCAGACUUCUCUGCUCUGUGCUGAAGGACCAGCAGGGCUCACCUCCUCAUCUUGAACCAGUGGGUCUUGGAGUAAAGGAGGAUUUUGAUAUCUUGUAAGAGAAAAGUCAGGCAACCUCACUUUAUAGAGCCAUCUGUGACAGAAACUCCUUUAGAAAUCCCUUUUACGGAGCUGCUUCCUAAAGCUUUAAAUGUUCAACUGAGUGUUGAUAGUCUUAUCUCCCAUAGUUAAUAUGAAUGACUGUCCUUUUUAAUCAACCAAGCAUUUCUCACUGAAGAUGUGUCAAAUUAAGGAGAAAUGGCUGAUAAAUGACUCUGCCUGUCUUUGUCUUAGUAUCAUUUGAAAAGGAAGAGGGGUUAUUCUCUGUAUUCUUAGAUUAAUUGACACAUUUGCUGCUAUUAAUUUAGGUAGCUAUGAUGUCACAAAGACAUUUGUCAAUAACAUUGUCAGUGAAGGCUGGCGGAAUAUAGUUAUGGCUAUGAAGACACAGCCCACACAUACUUACAGAGCCUUUAGGGAAUAUCAAUGAGGAGGGGCAAGAAAGUUCUCAUUGCUCAUGGUAAUGUGUGACUGACUUAUGAAAACAAAGAAUCAGGG
Molecule: long non-coding RNA, 908 nt
Organism: Neopsephotus bourkii (Bourke's parrot)
Lineage: Eukaryota; Metazoa; Chordata; Aves; Psittaciformes; Psittacidae
Exons: 3
Source: RefSeq, a predicted model, not a curated record